Molecule: unclassified non-coding RNA, 388 nt
Filed under: Hevea brasiliensis (rubber tree)
Lineage: Eukaryota; Viridiplantae; Streptophyta; Magnoliopsida; Malpighiales; Euphorbiaceae
Source: RNAcentral
AGAUUGAGAAAGAAAAGAGAGAGAUUGACGGCCAGAGAUACAUAUUUUACUUUAGUAAGCCUUAUUCAAAGUCAUCAUGAAAAUCUUUGACUAGAGUAAUAAUUCUCCAGUACUCAUCCACACCAAAAUGUCUAAUUAUAAACUCUUCGUCCAUUUGUCCCUCUUCAAAUUCUAAAAGUGUCUUAAAUAUUACUUCACACACAGAUACCAGAAUGAAUUGCUACAGCAAUCAUAACUGUAUCACAUCCCACGAACUGUAACAGAUACUCAAGAAUUCAGGGAAGAGAAAAUAUGAGGGUAAAAAACAAUUAAAUGAUAAAUUAAUCGAAAUCAAUCUAGAAGAUGAAUAACAAAAACCAGAUGUACCUCUCCAUCGACAAUUAUGUCU